Non-coding RNA from Hortaea werneckii EXF-2000, 85 nucleotides. The record is from Rfam. NCBI's taxonomy places the organism in Eukaryota, Fungi, Ascomycota, Dothideomycetes, Mycosphaerellales, Teratosphaeriaceae.
GGCCUGCUGGCUCAAUGGCAGAGCGCUUGACUACGAUUGAUUCCGGUUAAUCAAGAGGUUCCAGGUUCGAGCCCUGGGUAGGUCA